UUGUCGUUGUGUAAUGUGUUCCUCUCCAGUCCGAAACCCCCCAUCUUUGAAAUGGACAGCGACAUUUCCCGGUGGGUCCUCGAAUUCCUCCUCCGCAGCUCCGUCCCCGAUUCCCUCAUCCAGAAAGCCCUAACCUCACUCCCUCUCUCCGGCGCCGAUCUCCGCCUCAAGCACACCCUCCUCCUCCGCACCCUCCACACCCUCCUCCUCCACGCCUCCCUCCCCGACACCGCCCUCCACAUCCUCGAGCUCCUCGAGCCCCACUCCAACGACGCCUCCGCCGCCUCCCUCCGCCGCGCCUACCGCGCCGUCGCCGUCGAGUGCACCGUCAAGUACCUCGCCGCCGUCCCCGACGCCCCCUCCGCCGAGUACUCCGCCGCCGUCGACCGCAUCUGGCGCGGCCGCGUGGCGGCGCUGGAGGCGCGCCGCAGCGGGAUCGCCUCCUCCGGCGAGUUGGCGCGGUGGCGCGACGACGUGGAGGCCGCGGUUUGGGACCCUAGGGUUCGCGAGAGGCUCGCGGGGCUGAAUAGUCGGAAGGAAGCGUUUGAUGAGGUGGGGGCGUAUUUGAAGGAAGCGUGGGAAGCGAUGGGUCCUUCGUUUCUGGAAUCGAUGUCGAAUGCCAAGGGUCAAGAAGGGUUGGAGAAUUCGGCGAAGGAGAAAGAGCGUUCUGAUUAUGAUGAUGAUGAUGGUGAUGCAUGCAUGAAGAAUUUGGCAACGCGUGAUGGAAAUGAGGAAGUGGGUGGGGGUGACUUGCCUCCCCAGAGAGGUAAAGUUGUACGCAUGUCCCCAAUAGAAACUCAGAAACGGAAAUCUCAGCUUAAACACAAGCACUCUGCACUUCGUACAUGUAAUAGGGGAGUUAAAAUAUCUGAUCCUGAGGAAGUGGAGCCAGCAAAAUGGAAGAGCAAACAUGAUCCUGUACCUAGUGCCGAAGCUAGUAAAGUUCGGGAAUCCCUUAAAUCAAGUUCUUUGGAGUUACAAGCAUUGGUCGAGGAUCCUCUUCCUGAUGCAUUGCAUAAAUCUGAAGUUAUAAGAUCGAAAUCUGCAACAAGAGAUACGAAUAUUGAACCACCUAUUGAAAACCAGAGUGAAGAUGUAGAUGUACCAGAUCCAGAUGUUUGCAGAAGUAUUGUACUUUUUCAGCCUAAAGAUGCCAAUCUUGUUAAGAAGUCUCCCGAUCCUUGUAGUAAUGUUCAUCAGCCUAACAUAAUGGAACGGAAUAGAACUGCACGUACCUAUGAGUGGGAGGAUUCAACAGAUAACUCAUCACAAGCAAGACAGACAAGGAGGAGGAAAAGGAAAUGGUCUUCGUUAGAAGAGGAAACACUAAGGGCCGGUGUACAAAUGUUUGGAGAAGGAAACUGGGCGACAAUCCGAAGUUUUUACAGUAACGUAUUUGAAAAUAGAAGUGGAGUUGAUCUAAAGGACAAGUGGAGAAACAUGAUACGGUGAACAGUCAUGUGUAAAUAUCUUGGGAGGUAAGGGAGAGGGCUAUCACCAGUUGUGAAACUGAAACCUACACCUCAUGAACUGAAGAAAAAGGCUCAAGAUUUUUUUCUUAUAGCGAGGUAAUGACAAUUUUGAUAUCAGGUUCUCUCUUUGCAAUCUCGUUUUUUUUGUUGAAACAUGAUCCAAAUAGUACAGUUAGCAAGGACCGACUGGUAUCCAAAGCCCAUUAUAUAAGUGCCCUUUCAAAAGCAUCAUUAAUCUCUGUUCUGAUUUCAAGUCUCAGCUGAAGGUUCCCCUAAUAUGGUAUUGGUAUGUUCGGUACGAAAAGAAAUCAUGGCAAUUUCGAGGUCUGAAUUGUACUACUACUAAUUAACAUUGAAUUUUGUAUGAUGUUUUUCAUUUCUUUUGUAAAUGCAGUUAUUCCUUGAUACGCUACGAGUAUGAUGAUAGCCAUGUAUUUUUAAUCUAACGGGUACAUGUUUUUAUCUAGUAGUUAAGUCAUAGAUGGCGUAUUUCCAAAAAUCACCAGCAUCAACUUGAA
Cajanus cajan (pigeon pea) is the source of this 1990-nucleotide RNA transcript. RefSeq lists it as uncharacterized. The record is from RefSeq and is a predicted model, not a curated record. NCBI's taxonomy places the organism in Eukaryota, Viridiplantae, Streptophyta, Magnoliopsida, Fabales, Fabaceae.